This 441-nucleotide long non-coding RNA is filed under the name Equus asinus (donkey). RNAcentral's name for it is "lncRNA (ENSEASG00005024551.1)". The record is from RNAcentral. Lineage: Eukaryota; Metazoa; Chordata; Mammalia; Perissodactyla; Equidae.
CUCGGGCCGGCCCGGCCCACGGGGGCGGAGGGAGCUGCGGCGCUCUAGCCGAGGAGCCGGCGCCGGGGGCGGACGCGGAGCAGGCGUGGCGGAGCGGGGGGUCGGGCUACCUGCUGACGGGGAGCUGCCCUCGCUCCUCGCCCUCCCUGCGACCCCCACGCCGACCUCCAGCCGUUCCCUUGUGGUUCUGUAACGACGGGUUUUAGGAGCGUUUGGUGCUGUGACCCUGCAGAUGCUUUUACCGUCUUCAUUUCUUGGUCAAUGGCCCAGUCUUACUAGAGUGCGCUCUGCCGGUACGCCGCUUCAAAUCCUUUCCAGAAACUGAAUCUCAGGCGAGUUCUUCUUUUGCCAGCUCUAACCUAGAACCACUCAGGGAAAGGGAUUCCAGGAAAUGCAGCCCGUUUGGGAGUGGUGGUGCCAAGCUGACCACACACAAUCCAG